GCUGAAGCCAGUCGAAGAUACCAGCUGGCUGCAACUGUUUAUUAAAAACACAGCACUGUGCAAACACGAAAGUGGACGUAUACGGUGUGACGCCUGCCCGGUGCUGGAAGGUUAAUUGAUGGGGUCAGCCGUAAGGCGAAGCUCCUGAUCGAAGCCCCAGUAAACGGCGGCCGUAACUAUAACGGUCCUAAGGUAGCGAAAUUCCUUGUCGGGUAAGUUCCGACCUGCACGAAUGGCGUAAUGAUGGCCAGGCUGUCUCCACCCGAGACUCAGUGAAAUUGAACUCGCUGUGAAGAUGCAGUGUACCCGCGGCAAGACGGAAAGACCCCGUGAACCUUUACUAUAGCUUGACACUGAACAUUGAGCCUUGAUGUGUAGGAUAGGUGGGAGGCUUUGAAGUGUGGACGCCAGUCUGCAUGGAGCCAACCUUGAAAUACCACCCUUUAACGUUUGAUGUUCUAACCUAGGCCCAUAAACUGGGUCGGGGACCGUGUCUGGUGGGUAGUUUGACUGGGGCGGUCUCCUCCUAAAGAGUAACGGAGGAGCACGAAGGUUGGCUAAGCAUGGUCGGACAUCAUGCGGUUAGUGCAAAGGCAUAAGCCAGCUUGACUGCGAGAGUGACGGCUCGAGCAGGUACGAAAGUAGGUCUUAGUGAUCCGGUGGUUCUGAAUGGAAGGGCCAUCGCUCAACGGAUAAAAGGUACUCCGGGGAUAACAGGCUGAUACCGCCCAAGAGUUCAUAUCGACGGCGGUGUUUGGCACCUCGAUGUCGGCUCAUCACAUCCUGGGGCUGAAGUAGGUCCCAAGGGUAUGGCUGUUCGCCAUUUAAAGUGGUACGCGAGCUGGGUUUAGAACGUCGUGAGACAGUUCGGUCCCUAUCUGCCGUGGGCGUUGGAAGAUUGAGAGGGGUUGCUCCUAGUACGAGAGGACCGGAGUGAACGCACCACUGGUGUUCGGGUUGUCAUGCCAAUGGCAUUGCCCGGUAGCUAAGUGCGGAAGAGAUAACCGCUGAAAGCAUCUAAGCGGGAAACUUGCCUCGAGAUGAGUCUUCCCUGUCGCUUUAAGCGACCUAAAGGAACGUUUAAGACUAAGACGUUGAUAGGCUGGGUGUGUAAGCGUAGCGAUACGUUGAGCUAACCAGUACUAAUGAACCGUGAGGCUUAACCUG
RNAcentral lists this ribosomal RNA (1167 nucleotides) under Proteus mirabilis. Its description in RNAcentral is "23S ribosomal RNA". It matches the Rfam family "Bacterial large subunit ribosomal RNA", at positions 1766 to 2925 of the family's 2925-position model. Lineage: Bacteria; Pseudomonadati; Pseudomonadota; Gammaproteobacteria; Enterobacterales; Morganellaceae. The record is from RNAcentral.